This is a long non-coding RNA of Megalopta genalis, 1083 nucleotides long. RefSeq lists it as uncharacterized. The record is from RefSeq and is a predicted model, not a curated record. NCBI's taxonomy places the organism in Eukaryota, Metazoa, Arthropoda, Insecta, Hymenoptera, Halictidae.
CUUCCCACUGGUCAACUGACAUUUAUACAAAUCCGGAAACAAGGGACAAACAUACAUGUCAAACCCCUACAUCAGAUUUCAACAAUAACUUUCGACAAAUGCAAGGAGACAAGCGUAAAUGUAAUAAUUCAACUGAGACGCUACUGACCCAGAAAACAAACUGAACGGAAUAGACCUUAACUGGUAGCAACUAUGAAGAAACGAAUAACUUCGUUUGCGAAUUUCUGCGCGGGAAAAACCAUUACGAAAAAAAUCAUUAAAAAUUAAAAUCAUUAAAAUCACGAAAUCGACGAUUUCGUACGUACAGAGAAUUAUCGGCGUUAAGAUAUUUGUUUACAUGCACACGUACGAGUCUGUUCACCGAAACCGCGGGCAUCGCAUAAAUGCACCGUCAUUCCGCUCGAAUAUUUCGAACAAUUAUCCUGAGUUGAAAACAUGCGAAAACUUUUCCUCGUUGCCAUGCAAAAUGCUCGAUUUUUGCUCUCGGCCAACUAUCGCUGCCGCGAUAAACUCUUGAUCUAUUCGAACGAACUAUGAAGACCACUUGCAGUCGUCGGCAUGCACAUCUUUUUUUUCGGCUCGUUCAAUAAGUAACAUUAUUUGUUUGCGACGAACUUUGACCCGGGGGAAAAAUUUCCGGUGGGUCAUCGACGACCCGCGAUACGAUCCAUCUCACUCCGUUCAUCGAACGUCGUCGUGGCAGGCGUCUCGUGGUAGUCGAGUGUCGCCGCGCUUCCUCUAGAUCGCUGCCAACGCGAAAUGCAAUAAACACGAUUGCACAAACUGCCGAGAUUUUAAUAGAAGACCCGUGGCAUUUGUAUCUCGCUCUGUACACCGUACCAUUGCCUCGAGAACUCGCGCAAUGUGAAAUCUUUAAAAUCUCAUCACACACACACACACACACACAAAUCAAGCGCUCCCUCAAUAUUGACAACCAUAAUGAACGAUGCUACGAGCUAUAACAAGCUCAACGACAAACGCAUCGCCGCUCCCAUUCAAAACUCCGAAGCGCGGCCUCAAUGGUACACACCGCGACAAAACUGUAGGACGCUGUCGAAUUUCUAGCGUUUCUUAAAAACCACG